AGUGAUGAAAGAAAUAAACUGGUCAAGUAAUCUAAGGAACGAUAAUACGUAUCUAUGUCAGUGACAGUGAGAAAAAUUCAGAUAUCUGUACUUAAGUGAUUACACUUAUAAGUAUCAUUAUAUAUUAUAUAAAUAUGAUAUUUCGAAUGGUAUCAUUUAUCACUCAUUAAACAAGAGUGUCAUAUCCAGAGAAAUGAUUUUACAUAUCUUAAUCUUUGCUUUGAUUACGAUAGUAAUAAUUUCUAUCAAACUUGAUGAGGAAGAUACAUGAAUAAUUAUCUAAAAGCUGAAAAUCUUGGCAAAUUCAUUUGUACAUAAACUAACAGGAGUGAAUUUUAAAGAUACACUCUGCUCUCAACAAUUAAAGCUGUCUUGUCGCAACAAAGUUUCAAUAAUUUUUUAUGGACAACAUGGCCCAGUUUGCACAAAGACUAAAAAUUUUAACAUUAAAUUUGGAUAAACUAUCUUACGAUAGAAGGAAUGAUAUAUCCUUCAUUUUCGCCAAUAAUCUGGUCGAAUUUAGUCAAGUAAAAUGGUAUUGUUUCGUUCAAAAGUUGAUUCUUCCUCGCUUCCUUCUUUUCAGGAUCCUCCUCCAUGCGAUAGUAGCAGAUAGCUGAAACGUAUAUGAAACCAACCGUUACAUUCAUUUGUGUUUUUCCCCCCAAACGAAGAGAAAAUAAGUUGUGAAAGAAGGAGUAGCCUCUCAUAGUUCCUACAAUUUCUUCAUUCUCUUUGCUUUCUUCAAUAUUGCCUCAACAAGUUCCUGUGGUUCACGAUACUUGAAAUAUAUACAAUGUUACCAGCGUGGAAAUUGUCUUGGAAACUUGGAAAAUCUUUCAAGAGGAACAACAUUGCUAACUGAGAUUCGAGAAAGGAAAGGUAUCUCAUGAUCAUGUGAUAACACACAGGAAGAAAGAAUAGAGGAAAAAACAGCGUAAGAAAAAGUUGCGUAAGAGUAUCGUCGCACUACAUCAUUCGACAAUUGAUGCACGUCAUGGCGAUCGUCACGGUUUAAAGCAGGCCAUCAAAAACACGUUUGUUAUCGUACGGAAAAAUCUGCGACGUUCCAGCUGUUCAGGUGCAUCGAAUUGUGAAUCAUCGGCGGUACGAAGCAAGGCGAGGGGCGUAAAUAGAGAAAGAAGAGAAGAGAAGGAUUCGCAUAAAUGAUAAAAUAUAAUCGUUCGUUCCUCGUCGAUGGCGGAUGGAUGGCUUUAAUCGUGGACGAUAUCGAUACGAUUAUAUUUUAUACAUUUGAAACAAAUAUAAAAGACGAGCAAAAACCAGAGAUACGAUCGUUAUGAUAUUAUUCAAUCGGUAGCCUAUUUACCUCGUUUUUUGUUCACCUUCGGUGUCUAGUAAUAAUUUUUCGAUUCGACUGGCGUGACGUUACGUUGGCGGUGUAAAAACACGAUUUUAAACACCUGCGGAUAGUUGCAUGAGUUUCGAGCGAUUCCAUUCCCUUCGAUUUAUAUUUAUGCGAUCAACGCGCGGAUCGUUAACGCAUUAUGCAGACAGCAGAUGUUACGUAAUCACACAUAUCGUAAUUGGAAAUUAGUAACGUUAUCGCGUACCAGGAUCUUCCUGUCUUUGAUCAUCGAGUAACACCUCGUUGUCCUCGCUCCUUCCGCGGAUAACCAGCGUUUAUCAUAUAGAGACAGGGAUUUGCAAAGAAUAAAAGUUGUAGAACGUUGAAAGGCGUUGAGAGAAACGUGAUGUUAUCCCGUUAUUCGUUAACGCAACGCAGUUAAAAAAAAUCCCGUAGGAAGAUUACGAUAAUAGAUAACCUGAGUCGAGUGUUUGUCGGGGCAUCUAAAAGAUUCUUUCGAGUUGAGCGUCUGAGAUUGCAGAGAAGAAAAUUUGGAAGCCAUCGAAUUCGUGAUGUCGAUAGAAAUCUUCAGUUGGAAUCGUUGUAUCAUAACGUAGUCUGCUUAUUGUCGAUAAGACUUUACUAAACUAAAAGUGACUACUAAAAGUUUCUAUCCUCUAAAUUCUAUCUACGAUUCUAUAAUCUAAAAACUGACUUUUGCAAACAAACUGUAACAUUCGCUUAACGGAAAGACAUACGUAUCUUGUUUGUACUCGUCUUUUCACAAUGAAUUCUUGAACGUCUGUCUCUGUGGUGAGACAAAUGCAAAGUCAUCUCAUCAGUUACUCACCUUGCUUCAAAUUGCUACGAUUGCUAUCGGUUUGGAUACUUGCGAUUGUUUCGUUAUGGCUAUAUUAGGCUCUAGGUUGCAAGGUUAGGGUGUUGUCCUGAAGUUCCAGAGGGGCCCCGGCGUCCUUUCGUCUCCGACUCGGCCAUCCUGACACUUACACGUCCUCGUGUGUGGCCUGCUGGCUUAGUCUACCCGUCGGGGCUUCCACCACGCAGGCAUCGACCCGGCGCUCGUCCUCGGGGCAAUGUUUUUCUUCUCGCCGCGAUGGACAGCGAGACGCGAUGUGUCCCGGCAUGUGGCAGUGAAAGCACAACGCUUUUGGUGGUGCAGCCGGUCGGCUUUCCUCCGGGCGUCGAGGGUCCUUCUUCGGUUCCCACUUCGCCCUCUUGCGGCAUUCGAAUGUCGGAUGUCCGUAAAUACCGCAGUGGCCACACCUGGUCCAGGGGGCGGGUGACCUGCCUCGUUUGUUUCCGGAGCUCGCUAAUGACCUCCACGGCGGGGGCGUUGGCCACUCCGUGUAUAGGAAGAGCUUCAUUUCUCUUUGGAAUUGUUUCACCGACGUGAUGUCACUCGUGAGCGCUAGUCGUUUAAAACGUUCAUCGCGCGAGCCCAGCAGAUGGAGGGCGGUGGCGGCGAGUACCUCUUCCCUGGUUGAAUUUCGCCACUUCGACCCCAGGAGGGUGAUGAUACGAUUUCCGUACGCUCCUGGUGUUUCGCCGUCCCGCGGUAGUUCCUCGGCUACCUUGAUUAGCGACGCGGCUGCUACUUCUUAGCCACCGAAGUGCGCGGCGAAUUGUUCCUUAAAAUCUGGCCAGGGGGUGGUCCCUCAUGAGCAGGCCGAGCUCGAGUCACAUUCCGAGUCCGAGCUCGAGGCGCCCUCCCGGGCAGGGCUCGCGGGAGAUUGCGAUUCCGUGUUGGAGUUCUCCAUCGUCCGGUCGCGGGUGGGGUACCUUUAUUGUCGAUAGUGACACUAGUGACGAGGGCCUCAGGCUUGAUAACGAAUCCGCGGCCAACGGGAGGACUAUCAUAUAAAGAGCAACAGGAUACACGAAAUAAUAUAAUUCUGACUAGGACAACAUAAACGCAAGAAGUGUUGAUAUUGAAAAAAAUAUUUAAUUUUGUAUAUAAAUAUUUUCAUAUUUAAAAAAGUUUCCGGAAGCAGGAAGAUUUACAAACAAAUAAUAUCAUAAACCGAAUGUUUCAUGAUCCUUUUCUAAUUAGAGUGUGUGACAGCAUGUGAGAACGUUUCUUAAAAAUAUGACUUAUUGCAAUUACUUAAUCGCAAUUAUAAACGAUUAAGACCUUCUCACAACGAGGCAAUCUAUCCAAAGUAUAAAACUCGUUAUACUUGAUGAGAAAACAAAUCUCUACUUAGGUUUCAUUUCGUUUCAUCGCGUUCAUAAAAAGUGAAUUUGUAUGAACACAUCGUGCAAUUUAGUAAUUAGGACCGUUGAUCUCGCUGCAACAUAGAUGGAUAGAAAAAAGCCAUUUAAAAUGAUACAACGUCGGGAAGACAAUUAUGAAAAUUAUAAAUGGAACACGAGAUAAAAUUGUUUAAGAUUAAUUCUUCUUUUUUUCUUUUUUUUUUAAUCGCGAGUGUUUGCAAACGAAGUUUCAAUCUGUUUACAAUGAUAGCAAUGAGAGGAGGAUGUCUAUGAAAGUUAUAAAUGCGAUAUUGAAUAACAUUUCUGCGAGUGGGUUUGUUUUUCGUUACAAAUGUUUUUUAAACGAAUCUGCAAUCUGUUGGAAACUACGGAACAGUAACGGGACGACUGAUAGGGAAAUAAAAAAGAUCGCGUUUUAUUUGAACAGACAAAUCUUUGAAAUCUAUUCGAAAGUCUAUUUGAAAUGGUACGAGCUCGAAAAGAACGGUGAAUACUAUAGAAGAAGGAUUAAUUAAAAUUCUUAUUAAUCUGUACGCUUUGUAUAUUAAAUACCUUGAUCGAUGCCAAGAUAACAAAUUAUUAUACAAAACAGUGAAGUAUCCACGUCUGACAUUAAUAUUGAGUAUUACCAUUACUGUAAUUUAAUUUUUAACCGAUCCUGAAAAUUCCUUAGAACGUAAAAAGUAUAAAAUGUUACUGUGCAUUUCAAGAUUAAAUGCACUGUAAUUUAGAAACAGUUAUGAAGCGGAAACAAAUAAUUUAUUCAGAAUAAGAAUUCUACGUAAUCAUGUUAAAAAAAAAAACGUACUUAUAACGCGUUUAAACUCCAAAUAUGUAAAGACAAUAAGGGAAAAAAAUUAAACGCAGAAUCGUAUUUUUUGUAAAUUCACACAAGAUUUUAUCCAAAAAAAAAAUUAAGAUUUUUUGAAGAACGUACAAGAACAAUAAAAAAGGGAUGUUAAAUACAAAAAAUAGAUUAAAAUUUAGAUUAUGAAAUAUAAAAAAAAUGAUAUUGCAUAAUUUACAAUUAUUUUCGAUAGCUUACGUCAGUAUGUUGGAGUGUAAACUAUAAAAUAUUCAAAAACUGAUACCAUUUAGACAUAAUUUAGAAAAACAAUAAAUUGCGGAAACCGAUAGUUAAAACUCGAUACGAUCGAUACUCCAAAACUCUAAUCCUAAUAAUUACUCAGCAAUAAUAACCGAUAAUUCAUGUUGAUUAAUGUUUGAACUCCGUUUUUUUUCUGUAUGUGUAUACAAAUUUUGUACAGUUUGAUAAAGCGAAAUUAAAUUAUCAUCUUUUUGUACUACUUCAAACAUUGAGAUUUGUCAUCUUCAAGGUCGAUCACACAUAGUUUCAGAUUGCGGAGUUGCAAGGGUAAUUAAUUUUGCAAUCGGUUUUCCUUUGAUAUAGAUGUGAAUACAAAUAGCCAUUGAUUGACAAUAUACCGAAGCAAUUCUAGUUUAAUUUGAAGUCAUCGAUCCUUUGAUAUUUUUGGAAGAAUAGUAAAAGUACAGAGAAAACAAGAAAAAAUGGCGUUAACUAAAAGAUAACUCCAAUGUAUCUCAUAAAUAUUAUCUAUAUAUCAUUUGUAAGAUGUAAGUGACCAAGAUAUCGAAUUAUACAAAAAUUGUAUGUAAUGAUUAAUACUUGAACGUUACUUACAUUUAUGUACAUGAAAAUUUGAUCUUUUAUUAACUAAGUUAUUGAUCGACAAAAUGACUUCCUACAUAAUUCUCCGCCUGAACUGAAAUGCAUAUCUUUUUUUACGCAAGCCUUAUGUGUAGCUAGCAACGAGCAAACAGAUUAAUUACUUUACACACGGUCGUAUCUUGUUUGCUGUAGGCGAGUUCUCUCGUGUAAUCAACGAAGUACUCAACUUUAAAGCGAUAACAGAAGAACAUUAUUGUAUCGAUAAAAAUCAUGCUUUUUUCAAAGAAAUAUGUAACUCGUAUUUUUUUUAAAGCAACCCUCAUAAUGUAUUGAAUAAAAUAAUCAUACAUUUUUUUUUGUUCAACAUUUGUAAAAUACGAUAUUAUCAAGAUCACCAAGGAGGUAAUCUUCAAUUCUUAAUGAAUAUAAUAAAAAACAUAAUUAAUGAUUG
Bombus huntii is the source of this 5643-nucleotide long non-coding RNA. RefSeq lists it as uncharacterized. Lineage: Eukaryota; Metazoa; Arthropoda; Insecta; Hymenoptera; Apidae. The transcript has 3 exons. The record is from RefSeq and is a predicted model, not a curated record.